Molecule: ribosomal RNA, 444 nt
Filed under: uncultured soil bacterium
Lineage: Bacteria
Description: bacterial SSU rRNA
Rfam family: Bacterial small subunit ribosomal RNA
Source: RNAcentral
AGAUUGAACGCUGGCGGCAUGCCUAACACGUGCAAGUCGAACGGGAGUAGCAAUACUCUAGUGGCGGACGGGUGAGGAAUACGUAGGAAUUUGCCCUUAAGUGGGGGAUAACCCGGGGAAACCCGGAUUAAUACCGCAUGACCUCGAAAGAGCAAAGUGGGGGGAUCGCAAGACCUCACGCUUUUUGGAGAAGCCUACGUCGGAUUAGCUAGUUGGUGAGGUAAUGGCUCACCAAGGCGACGAUCCGUAACUGGUCUGAGAGGAUGAUCAGUCACACCGGAACUGAGACACGGUCCGGACUCCUACGGGAGGCAGCAGUGGGGGAAUAGUUGGACAAUGGGCGCGAAGCCUGAUCCAGCAAUGCCGCGUGUGUGAAGAAGGUCCUUGGUUGUAAAGCUAACUUUAAGGUUGGGUAAAGAAAAACUCGACUACUAACACGAGUAG